Molecule: long non-coding RNA, 2079 nt
Organism: Cannabis sativa
Lineage: Eukaryota; Viridiplantae; Streptophyta; Magnoliopsida; Rosales; Cannabaceae
Exons: 2
Source: RefSeq, a predicted model, not a curated record
UAAAGAAAAAAUUGAAUUCAAAGUGGGUGAGGAGGAGAAGAGAACCAGCCCUGUGAAUGAGUCAGUUUCCGUAUUUAUAUAUUUUUAGAGAGAAUCACAGAUUUUGUCAGUUUAGUCAUCUGUAAAGGCUGAAGAAUAGGAUCCUCUUCAUCUCUUUUCCUUUGUGCCUUUAUGGUUUUUUUUCUUUAUUUUCUUUUUCAAGAAUUAUGGUUUAUUUGUUAGGCUUUCUUAUUAUUGAAUUACGAUACUUUAGUUACAACUGUGUGUGUAUUAUAACAAAUUUAAUUAGUUUUUUAAAUUUGGAUAUCACAUUGUAUAAAUUCUAAAAUAUUCAACGGAUGAGAUCCACUAUAAUAUAUGUAUUUAGUUACUGAUUUCAAAAUAUUAAGUAAAAAUCACAUGUUUAACUCUUAAUAUUCCUCUAUUUGAAAACAAAAACAAUUAAAUAGUAAAGUUUUAAAUUAUAAAAAUUCUAAUAUAAUAUUUUCAAAUUAAAAAUGAGUAGUAAUUAAUUACCGUGUUUCAAGCAAAUACCAUUUUUCUUGCAAUUAUAUAUGUGUAUAAUUAUUAUUAUUAUAAAUAGUAUUGAUAAUAAAUAAGAUAAUGAAAUAAAACUUUUCCAUUAUUGGUGGCACUUUGUCCUUGUGAAGAAAGCAAUAUAUCAUGCACCUUGUGUGAUUUAGACCUAUAAGUAUAGUACUAUCUUUAUAAAUAAAUAAUAAAAGAAUACUAUGCAUUUAAUAUUGGCCAAAAUGGUCACAACUGUAGGAUAUGAAUAUGAAUAUAGACUUAUAUAGGUUUGUAGAUAUUCCACAAUGAACAAAUUAUUGAUUCACUGUAUAGGAAGAAUGUAGUGGUUAAAUAACACUGUAUUAUGACUUUAGUAAUCACUUUCCCACAAUUACAGUUUACACGUUUUCACGAAACCUCUAAAUUGUAAAGCAAAAUUGGUUUUUUUUUUGAGAAGCCUCUGGUGGGUUUCUCCCAAAUAUGAGAAACUUCUAUGAAAAACAUCGAUUCGUCCUCUUAAUAAUUAUAACACUGUUUUAGUAAUUAAUCUAUUUGACCGGAAAGGAAUUGCAAUCCAAAUCCCUUAAGUAGAGUUAAUUUUUUUUUUUAACAACUAAAGUAGAGUUAAUUGAUUGAGAAGAAAAUGCAAUAAAAGUAAGAAAAGUAACUAUAUUUUAUUUUUGGGAGAGACUACAUACAAGUCACGAUUGUAAUGUUUGUGCAACGUAGUUGUAACUCGUAACUGUAGGGCAGGUCAUUUUCUUUGUUUUGUAGCUAAUUUUUUCUCCUCUUUUAUCCUUAUCUCAUCUUUUUGCCUGAAAACUUUAAAUUCCUAGGAAAAAGUUUUCCAUAUAAAUAUAAAUCUCUGAACUUUGCACAUGCAAUAUAUAGAUACGAGGGCCAUUAUAUGCUAAACCGACACUACUAAUUCAUUUCCACAGCAAUAUUGACGGGUAUUCAAAUUACGAAAAAAAAAUAGAGAAAUAAAAAAAAAAAUCUUUUUUCAAUACUAUCAACAUACACAUAACAACAAAAUUCAUACAAAAUUAAAAUAUAUAUACUGAUUGAAAUUUCAUUUCCCUAUGCCAUUUCAAAGGACAUAUGUAUGCAUGUAUAUUUAUUACAUUUGGUUUUAUUAUGGUUAUGAAAACAUAGUUAAUAAUAGGAGAGUUAGUGCUUAGAAGAACAGAGAGGCAAGCAAUGUGGGAGAGGGCCUAUGGUGAUGGUGGUGGACCCACGUGCUGCUCACCCACCACAACCCACGAGCCAUUUCUCUCCUUGGGGCGGCUCCUUCUGCAACUAAUGCUUUCGGCAAAGUGGACAUGGAUGGACGCAUUUGAGAGCUGAGACUCUUUAGUAUGGUACUUUAUUCACAUAACGAUAAAAAUAAUGAAAAAAAAUUAUUAUAGCGUUACAGUGUUUGGUAUUAUUAAGUAGUAAGUAGGUGAUGUAAUUUGAAUUGGAUACGUACGUAUGUUUGUUGAUUUGAUUUGAAAGAUUGGAUAAUAUCUACCCUAGACACAAAAUUAUAAAAAAGAGUGAUUAAGAUGGCAGUGUCUUGUUUGUGUA